AUGAUUUUUAAAGCGAGUCGAGCAUUAAGCGAGGCUUGCGAAAAUAUUUAAAACCCACUCUUUUUAACUAAAAAAAUAAAUCAUGAUACAUGAAUUUGAAAAAAAAGA
RNAcentral lists this unclassified non-coding RNA (108 nucleotides) under soil metagenome. RNAcentral describes it as "partial internal transcribed spacer 1". The record is from RNAcentral.